Molecule: unclassified non-coding RNA, 293 nt
Filed under: rhizosphere metagenome
Description: partial ribosomal RNA internal transcribed spacer region
Source: RNAcentral
GUAGGUGAACCUGCGGAAGGAUCAUUAUUGAAAUAAACUGACAGGUUGUUGCUGGUUCUCUAGGGAACAUGUGCACGCCUUGUCAUCUUUAUAUCUCCACCUGUGCACCUUUUGUAGACCUGGAUAUCUCUCUGAGUGCUUGCGCUCAGGUUUGAGGAUUGAUUCUUUUGUCUCUCCUUACAUUUCCAGGCCUAUGUUUCUUCAUAUACCCUAAUGUAUGUUAUAGAAUGUAAUAAAUGGGCCUUUGUGCCUAUAAACAUAUACAACUUUCAGCAACGGAUCUCUUGGCUCUC